AGAGUUUGAUCAUGGCUCAGGACGAACGCUGGCGGCGUGCUUAACACAUGCAAGUCGAACGAGGACCAAGGAGCUUGCUCCUUGUAGCCGAGUGGCGGACGGGUGAGUAACACGUGACCAACCUGUCCUAGGGUGGGGGAUAACCUGGGGAAACUCGGGCUAAUACCGCAUGAUGUCUGGUCAUCGCAUGGUGACCUGAUCAAAGAGAGCCUCUGCUUGCAAGCUCUCGCCCAAGGAGGGGGUCGCGGCGUAUCAGCUUGUUGGUAGGGUAACGGCCUACCAAGGCUAUGACGCGUAGCGGGUCUGAGAGGACGACCCGUCACAUUGGGACUGAGAUACGGCCCAGACUCCUACGGGAGGCAGCAGUGGGGAAUAUUGCGCAAUGGACGAAAGUCUGACGCAGCGACGCCGCGUGUGGGAGGAAGCCUUUCGGGGUGUAAACCACUGUCAGAGGGGAAGAACGCCGGUCAGUCGAACAGGCUGGUCGGGUGACGGUACCCUCAAAGGAAGCGCCGGCUAACUCCGUGCCAGCAGCCGCGGUAAGACGGAGGGCGCAAGCGUUGUUCGGAAUUACUGGGCGUAAAGCGCGGGCAGGCGGUCUGUUAAGUCGUUUGUGAAAAUCCGGGGCUCAACCCCGCGAAAUGCAGACGAUACUGGCAGACUAGAGAAUGGUAGA
Molecule: ribosomal RNA, 676 nt
Filed under: uncultured bacterium
Lineage: Bacteria
Description: bacterial SSU rRNA
Rfam family: Bacterial small subunit ribosomal RNA
Source: RNAcentral